GACGAACGCUGGCGGCGUGCCUAACACAUGCAAGUCGAACGGGGUAAUUUCUUUCGGGAGAUUACUUAGUGGCGAACGGGUGAGUAACGCGUGAGGAACCUGCCUUUCAGUGGGGGACAACAGUUGGAAACGACUGCUAAUACCGCAUAACAUAUAUCGGGGGCAUCCCUGAUAUAUCAAAGCUUAAUGUGCUGAAAGAUGGUCUCGCGUCUGAUUAGCUAGAUGGCGGGGUAACGGCCCACCAUGGCGACGAUCAGUAGCCGGUCUGAGAGGAUGAACGGCCACAUUGGGACUGAGAUACGGCCCAG
RNAcentral lists this ribosomal RNA (308 nucleotides) under uncultured bacterium. RNAcentral's name for it is "bacterial SSU rRNA". It matches the Rfam family "Bacterial small subunit ribosomal RNA", at positions 28 to 334 of the family's 1533-position model. The record is from RNAcentral.